Small nuclear RNA from Halichondria panicea, 177 nucleotides. RefSeq annotates it as U2 spliceosomal RNA. The transcript has a single exon. The record is from RefSeq and is a predicted model, not a curated record. NCBI's taxonomy places the organism in Eukaryota, Metazoa, Porifera, Demospongiae, Suberitida, Halichondriidae.
AUCGCUUCUGGCCUUUUGGCUAAGAUUAACUGUUCUUCGAAGUGUAAAAGCUUCGACGGGGCUAUUGCCCCACGCCUUUACUUUAAUUGUUGACUAUUGGGACAUGGUCUGAAGCUUGCUUCACCUGUCUCAUGGGUUGCCAUGGUAUUGCACUACUGCCAAGGUGGCCCUCCCCUC